GUCAGCGGCCAGAGCAUGGGGGGCACGCCCGGUCCCGUUCCGAACCCGGAAGCUAAGCCCCAUCGCGCCGAGAGUACUGCGGGG
RNAcentral lists this ribosomal RNA (84 nucleotides) under Collinsella aerofaciens. RNAcentral also lists the same sequence under 4 other names. Lineage: Bacteria; Bacillati; Actinomycetota; Coriobacteriia; Coriobacteriales; Coriobacteriaceae. The record is from RNAcentral.